GCAUUCACUAACUUAUAAUGUUUUUCUUUCCUUUUCAUCAUCUGCCAGGUGAGCAAGUCAAUCAUCACCUUUUAAACACUUGAGAUUUCUAAUCUAUUUGUGGCUGAGAAAUCUAACAAUUGUGCUGGUUAGAAUUACAUAAGGAUGACAUUGGCUUUGGAUGAGGUCUCUCCUGUGAGUGUCGUAAACCAAACUUCAGAGCCUGAGCUGUGUACUAGUGCACUCAUUAAACUUCUCAGAGACCAGUUUUGUUCCUGAGAUCUUGGUUAAGUUCUGGACAAGUGAGGUUCUAGGUAAGUGGCCUCUGGGCAAGUGAGGUGUUGCUGUGCAAUCCUAAGCAAUUAUGACACAGGUUACCUUUGUAAAUUAGGUGGCCAAAAUCUGUAGGGCCCUAGGGUGUACGGGAUUCACUGUAGGCCUGGGAGAGCCCUGGGCAAAUGGACUGACGAGCUCUCUAUCUGAUGUGGUUUUCUGUCCCUCCACUGAUGACUGCCCCUUCUCCCAUGCGAUAAGGUGUUCCUCCCUCGUCACCCAAAUGAGGAUCUCUAUCUUUGCAUUCUCCAGGACAGACACCCCAGCUUAGGAGCAUUGUGUUUGAUGUAAAAGGAAAUGGGGUGGAAAAAUAUGCAAGUGUCUCAUCUCUCCUGUCAAGUGCAUGGCUACUUGAUUACAUCCUCUACCCCAAGAAUGCCACCCUGCUUCAGAUCACUCCACUCCAGGGCCUACUGGAGAGACAGAAGAAUGUGGGAGAAAUGCGAGCUUGAGAUGAUUUUGCUCUUGUUAUUAAAAUGCUCUUCUCAUUGUGUGGUAAAAUUACAGAAAAUGUCUUUCUCUUCAGAAAACAAAGACUUCAGCCCCAAAGAGGGCCCAAGAGAGUUUUAGGACAAAUUUGCAUCUCUCUGGCAGGAACUAUGUAUGAAUUCAAGACAGAAAAGGAAUAUUUACAUAAUGUAUACUAUAUUUCUGUUAUAGCUUUCCAGAGAGCUCCCUAGCAAGAACUGGGAAGAGGUAUGAGGGGCAAGAAAGCUCCAAGCAGCCUCCCCUACUGAAAGCUAAUUGUAGUGGCACUGAUUGAAAGGUGGUGGAAGUUGUAGAAAGCCCUAGAGAGCAAUCAACAGGCUUAGGGCAGGCUGACCCCAAGACCUUGGGUCACUGUGUGGCUUUGAGCAAAUUGCGUAAUCUAUUUUGGCCCUAAUUCUCUCUUUUUAAAAAUGAGAUUGCACACCAGCAACUGUUGUUGCUCUUUCAGCUUGGAAGUGCUGUCUUUGUGGGUAAAUAAGGCAUUUUUAAGGCUAGUCUAAAUUUACAAGUGAACCUGUGGAGGCCCUGGAAAUACACUUACAUAUUUCACAUAGGACUACUGUAGUCACUACAAUGAGAAAGAAUUUCACUUCCUGCAUUGGAUCGGGUGGAUUAGAGUUGGUGCAUAUAAAGCAGCUAUGACAUGAAAAUAUUCCACAGAUGGUAG
Molecule: long non-coding RNA, 1468 nt
Filed under: Homo sapiens (human)
Lineage: Eukaryota; Metazoa; Chordata; Mammalia; Primates; Hominidae
Description: non-protein coding lnc-SEC61G-10:1
Source: RNAcentral